GACGAACGCUGGCGGCGUGCUUAACACAUGCAAGUCGAACGGAAAGGCCCUGCUUUCGUGGGGUGAUCGAGUGGCGAACGGGUGAGUAACACGUGAGUAACCUGCCCUUGACUUUGGGAUAACUUCAGGAAACUGGGGCUAAUACAGGACAGGAGCCCCCGCUGCAUGGAGGGGGUUGGAAAGUUUCGGCGGUUGGGGAUGGAUUAGCGGCUGAUCAGCUAGUUGGUGGGGUAGUGGCAUACCCAGGCUGUGACGGGUAGCCGGCCUGAGAGGGUGACCGGCGACAUGGGUCCUGAGGGACGGCCCAGACUCCUACGUUGGGCAGCGGUGGGGAAUAUGGUACAGUGGGCGGAAGCCUGAGGCGGCAACGCCGCGUUCGGAAUGACGUCCUGCGGGGUGUAAACCGCUUUCGCCUGUGACGAAGCGUUAGUGACGGUAAUGGGUGAAGAAGCACCGGCUAACUACGUG
Molecule: ribosomal RNA, 468 nt
Filed under: uncultured bacterium
Lineage: Bacteria
Description: partial 16S ribosomal RNA
Rfam family: Bacterial small subunit ribosomal RNA
Source: RNAcentral